Molecule: ribosomal RNA, 269 nt
Filed under: uncultured prokaryote
Description: partial 16S ribosomal RNA
Rfam family: Bacterial small subunit ribosomal RNA
Source: RNAcentral
UACGGAGGGUGCAAGCGUUGUUCGGAAUUACUGGGCGUAAAGCGCGCGUAGGCGGCUAUGUAAGUCAGAUGUGAAAGCCCGCGGCUCAACCGUGGAAGUGCAUUUGAAACUGUAUAGCUUGAGUACUGGAGGGGGUAGUGGAAUUCCCGGUGUAGAGGUGAAAUUCGUAGAUAUCGGGAGGAAUACCGGUGGCGAAGGCGACUACCUGGCCAGAUACUGACGCUGAGGUGCGAAAGCGUGGGGAGCAAACAGGAUUAGAUACCCCCGUA